AUACGUAGGUGGCAAGCGUUGUCCGGAAUUAUUGGGCGUAAAGCGCGCGCGGGUGGUUCCUUAAGUCUGAUGUGAAAGCCCCCGGCUCAACCGGGGAGGGUCAUUGGAAACUGGGGAACUUGAGUGCAGAAGAGGAUAGUGGAAUUCCAAGUGUAGCGGUGAAAUGCGUAGAGAUUUGGAGGAACACCAGUGGCGAAGGCGACUGUCUGGUCUGUAACUGACACUGAGGCGCGAAAGCGUGGGGAGCAAACAGGAUUAGAUACCCUGGUAGUCCACGCCGUAAACGAUGAGUGCUAAGUGUUGGGGGGUUUCCGCCCCUCAGUGCUGCAGCUAACGCAUUAAGCACUCCGCCUGGGGAGUACGGUCGCAAGACUGAAACUCAAAGGAAUCGACGGGG
This 397-nucleotide ribosomal RNA is filed under the name uncultured bacterium. Its description in RNAcentral is "partial 16S ribosomal RNA". It matches the Rfam family "Bacterial small subunit ribosomal RNA", at positions 523 to 918 of the family's 1533-position model. The record is from RNAcentral.